CCCUUAGAUGUUCUGGGCCGCACGCGCGCUACACUGAUGCAUUCAACGAGCCUAUCCUUGACCGACAGGUCCGGGUAAUCUUUGAAUCUGCAUCGUGACGGGGAUAGAUUAUUGCAAUUAUUAAUCUUCAACGAGGAAUGCCUAGUAGGCGCAAGUCAUCAGCUUGCGUCGAUUACGUCCCUGCCCUUUGUAUACACCGCCCGUCGCUCCUACCGAUCGAAGAGUUAGGUGAAUUGUUUUGAUCGAUAAGAUUUGACUAUGGUCAACUCUCGUUGUGAAAUUCUGUGAAUCUGACUGUUUAGAGGAAGGAAAAGUCGUAACA
RNAcentral lists this ribosomal RNA (322 nucleotides) under uncultured eukaryote. Its description in RNAcentral is "partial 18S ribosomal RNA". It matches the Rfam family "Eukaryotic small subunit ribosomal RNA", at positions 1470 to 1796 of the family's 1831-position model. The record is from RNAcentral.